GUACUGGUAUUGUUGGUUUCUCCCUUCUGACGAACCAUGAUGUCAUUUAUUUGGUGUUGUGGGGAAUCAGGACUGUUACUUUGAAAAAAUUAGAGUGUUUAAAGCAGGCUUUCGCUUGAAUACAUUAGCAUGGAAUAAUGAAAUAGGACGUUUGAUCCUAUUUUGUUGGUUUCUAGGAUUGACGUAAUGAUUAAUAGGGAUAGUUGGGGGCAUUAGUAUUCAAUUGUCAGAGGUGAAAUUCUUGGAUUUAUUGAAGACUAACUACUGCGAAAGCAUUUGCCAAGGAUGUUUUCAUUAAUCAAGAACGAAAGUUAGGGGAUCGAAGACGAUCAGAUACCGUCGUAGUCUUAACCAUAAACUAUGCCGACUAGGGAUCGGAUGAUGUUAAUUUUUUAAUGACUCAUUCGGCGCCUUACG
Molecule: ribosomal RNA, 417 nt
Filed under: uncultured Glomeromycotina
Lineage: Eukaryota; Fungi; Glomeromycota
Description: SSU rRNA
Rfam family: Eukaryotic small subunit ribosomal RNA
Source: RNAcentral